GACGAACGCUGGCGGCGUGCUUAACACAUGCAAGUCGAACGGAAAGGCCCUGCUUUUGUGGGGUGCUCGAGUGGCGAACGGGUGAGUAACACGUGAGUAACCUGCCCUUGACUUUGGGAUAACUUCAGGAAACUGGGGCUAAUACCGGAUAGGAGCUCCUGCUGCAUGGUGGGGGUUGGAAAGUUUCGGCGGUUGGGGAUGGACUCGCGGCUUAUCAGCUUGUUGGUGGGGUAGUGGCUUACCAAGGCUUUGAGGGGUAGCCGGCCUGAGAGGGUGACCGGCCAAAUUGGGACGGGGAAACGGCCCAAGCUCCUACGGGGGGCAGCGGUGGGGAAUUUUGCACAAGGGGCGGAGGCCUGAUGGAGAACCGCCGGGGGGGGGAGGCCGGCCUUCGGGUUGGAAACCGCUUUCGCCUGUACCGAAGCGGGGGGGACGGUAAUGGGGAAAAAAGCCCCGGCAAACUAGGG
This 467-nucleotide ribosomal RNA is filed under the name uncultured bacterium. RNAcentral's name for it is "partial 16S ribosomal RNA". It matches the Rfam family "Bacterial small subunit ribosomal RNA", at positions 28 to 506 of the family's 1533-position model. The record is from RNAcentral.